UACGUAGGUGGCAAGCGUUAUCCGGAUUUACUGGGUGUAAAGGGCGUGUAGGCGGGAUGGUAAGUCAGAUGUGAAAACUAUGGGCUCAACCCAUAGCCUGCAUUUGAAACUAUCGUUCUUGAGUGUUGGAGAGGCAGGCGGAAUUCCGUGUGUAGCGGUGAAAUGCGUAGAUAUACGGAGGAACACCAGUGGCGAAGGCGGCCUGCUGGACAAUAACUGACGCUGAGGCGCGAAAGCGUGGGGAGCAAACAGG
Molecule: ribosomal RNA, 253 nt
Filed under: uncultured bacterium
Lineage: Bacteria
Description: partial 16S ribosomal RNA
Rfam family: Bacterial small subunit ribosomal RNA
Source: RNAcentral